AUUGGUCAAUGGACGGAAGUCUGAACCAGCCAUUCCGCGUGCAGGAAGAAGGUCCUAUGGACUGUAAACUGCUUUUAGCAGAGAAGAAACGCCUUCAUUUAUGAGGGUCUGACGGUAUCUGCGGAAUAAGCACCGGCUAACUCCGUGCCAGCAGCCGCGGUAAUACGGGGGGUGCAAGCGUUAUCCGGAAUCACUGGGUUUAAAGGGUGCGUAGGCGGGAUAUUAAGUCAGUGGUGAAAGUCUGUUGCUUAACGAUAGAAUUGCCGUUGAUACUGAUGUUCUUGAAUUGGGUUGAGGUUAGCGGAAUGUGACAUGUAGCGGUGAAAUGCAUAGAUAUGUCAUGGAACACCAAUUGCGAAGGCAGCUAGCUGGGCCUUGAUUGACGCUGAGGCACGAAAGCGUGGGGAGCAAACAGGAUUAGAUACCCUGGUAGUCCACGCCCUAAACGAUGCUAACUCGAUGUUUGGUUUUAGGAUUGAGCAUCUAAGGGAAACCGAUAAGUUAGCCACCUGGGGAGUACGACCGCAAGGUUGAAACUCAAAGGAAUUGACGG
This 553-nucleotide ribosomal RNA is filed under the name uncultured bacterium. RNAcentral's name for it is "bacterial SSU rRNA". It matches the Rfam family "Bacterial small subunit ribosomal RNA", at positions 363 to 916 of the family's 1533-position model. The record is from RNAcentral.